GACGAACGCUGGCGGCGUGCCUAAUACAUGCAAGUCGAACGAGAGCAACCGGUGCUUGCACUGGUCAAUCUAGUGGCGAACGGGUGAGUAACACGUGGGUAACCUGCCCAUCAGAGGGGGAUAACAUUCGGAAACGGAUGCUAAAACCGCAUAGGUCUUCGAACCGCAUGGUUUGGAGAGGAAAAGAGGCGCAAGCUUCUGCUGAUGGAUGGACCCGCGGUGCAUUAGCUAGUUGGUGAGGUAACGGCUCACCAAGGCCGUGAUGCAUAGCCGACCUGAGAGGGUGAUCGGCCACAUUGGGACUGAGACACGGCCCAAACUCCUACGGGAGGCAGCAGUAGGGAAUCUUCCGCAAUGGACGCAAGUCUGACGGAGCAACGCCGCGUGAGUGAAGAAGGUUUUCGGAUCGUAAAACUCUGUUGUUAGAGAAGAACAAGUGCUAGAGUAACUGUUAGCGCCUUGACGGUAUCUAACCAGAAAGCCACGGCUAACUACGUGCCAGCAGCCGCGGUAAUACGUAGGUGGCAAGCGUUGUCCGGAUUUAUUGGGCGUAAAGCGAGCGCAGGCGGUUCCUUAAGUCUGAUGUGAAAGCCCCCGGCUCAACCGGGGAGGGUCAUUGGAAACUGGGGAACUUGAGUGCAGAAGAGGAGAGUGGAAUUCCAUGUGUAGCGGUGAAAUGCGUAGAUAUAUGGAGGAACACCAGUGGCGAAGCGACUCUCUGGUCUGUAACUGACGCUGAGGCUCGAAAGCGUGGGUAGCAAACAGG
This 766-nucleotide ribosomal RNA is filed under the name uncultured Granulicatella sp. RNAcentral's name for it is "bacterial SSU rRNA". It matches the Rfam family "Bacterial small subunit ribosomal RNA", at positions 28 to 776 of the family's 1533-position model. Lineage: Bacteria; Bacillati; Bacillota; Bacilli; Lactobacillales; Carnobacteriaceae. The record is from RNAcentral.